Penaeus vannamei (Pacific white shrimp) is the source of this 1356-nucleotide non-coding RNA. Lineage: Eukaryota; Metazoa; Arthropoda; Malacostraca; Decapoda; Penaeidae. The record is from RefSeq and is a predicted model, not a curated record.
ACUACAUUGUAAAUGACUCAUACUAAAAACAAAAAAAAUUACAAUGUAGUAAGCACAUUGUAAAGCCAAUGUAAGUUAGUUCCCUAAACUGCCAAGAGAGGGCAGAUCGGUAAUUGAUUGACCAAUCAGCAGUCAGCCUCCUAGACGUAACAGCCAAUGGAAAGUCACAGAUCUCAGCUGAUUUAUCACCUCGCUCUACCAAAAGUAAACAAUGCCAUGGAAGGUCCUACUCAAAAGAAAAGAAGGCCAAAUUUCCCAGAUGAAUAGAUGUUGGCUCUAAUAGAAGCUGUGGUCUAGAGGAGGAGUGUGGUUCUGGGGAAAAUAGACCACAAAAUUUACCGGACAAGUGAUAAAUAACGCCUGGGAGUGUGUGACUUAGUGAGGUGAAUCUUGUCGCUCGCGUUCCGAGGACUGUGGCUGAAACGCGUAGGAAGUUGACAGAUCUCAGAGCAGCCGUGAAAAAGAGAAACACAAGAGAAGUAAUACAUGGUAGAAACAGAUGGUGGCCCAGCAGUUCUUACAAACUACACAGCAGUUGAAGAAGCUAUGCUAGCUCUGAUUGAGGCUUUUAUUAUUUCUGGCUUACCAGGGUCUAUGAAAAUGAGACAGAGGUAGAUGAUGUUGAAGAACCAACCCCUAGGCCAUCUGGGAUAGCAUCUCAACCCAAAUGGAUUCUGAAGUUAUUUUAACAAUGGAUGAGAACACUUUGGAGGAGCAAGAAGUUACAGUACCCAUUGUAACAAUGUACUACACAUACUCUGCGGAAUUACCCCAUUUCUUCACAGAAGAGUAACUAUGAAGAUAGAUUUAGCCGAGACAGUGCAAUGGUCCAAGAGAGAGAGACCUUUCAAGAACUGAGCAGGUCAAGCUUUAAUCUUUCUGAUGCUGUCAUAUAAGAUUUUGGUUUAUUUGUUACUGAGACAGAGCAAUAUUUAAUUUAGAUUUUUCCUUCUUUAAAUUCUGUAGAGUUCAGGAGAAAGCAAAUUUUAAUUCUAUUCUAAUAUUCAUUCAAAAUAGUUACAUGGUUUCAGGGACAGCUUUAUUUUAAUUAUGUUAUUAUAUUCCUUUAAUUGCAUUAUAUUCUUUUAUUUGCAUAUUUUUAUGCAUAAAACUUAUGUUAUUUGUGCAAUAUACAUAAUUUGCCCCCAAAGGUUUUUAUUGAUUUUGUUUCAAAGGCAGUAGCUGUCUUGUGGUCAUAAGGCAAUAUGAAAAGUGUCAGUACAUUUUGUUUUUGUUUUUUUUAUUAUUUUUUUAUUUUAUUUAUUUUUUUUUUUUACACUACUUUUGUAAUAUAUAUUUACUGUAUGUAUCUUACCAGUUUUAUUGUUUUAUAAUCACAGGUCUGAAAUAAAGUUG